ACGCUGGCGGCACGCCUAACACAUGCAAGUCGAACGAAGUAGCAAUACUUAGUGGCAGACGGGUGAGUAACAUGUGGGUAUCUGCCCUUUGGCCUGGAAUAACACGAGGAAACUUGUGCUAAUACCGGAUAAGUCUUUACGGAGAAAGCUUUAUGCACCAUUGGAUGAGCCCGCACUUGAUUAGUUUGUUGGUGGGGUAAUGGCCUACCAAGACUGUGAUCAAUAGCUGAUUUGAGAGGAUGAUCAGCCACAUUGGGACUGAGACACGGCCCAAACUCCUACGGGAGGCAGCAGUGGGGAAUCUUGCACAAUGGAGGAAACUCUGAUGCAGCGAUGCCGCGUGAGUGAAGAAGGCCCUUGGGUUGUAAAGCUCUUUCGUCGGGGAAGAAAAUGACUGUACCCGAAUAAGAAGGUCCGGCUAACUUCGUGCCAGCAGCCGCGGUAAUACGAAGGGACCCAGCGUAGUUCGGAAUUACUGGGCUUAAAGAGUUCGUAGGUGGUUGAAAAAGUUAGUGGUGAAAUCCCAGAGCUUAACUCUGGAACUGCCAUUAAAACUUUUCAGCUAGAGUAUGAUAGAGGAAAGCAGAAUUUCUAGUGUAGAGGUGAAAUUCGUAGAUAUUAGAAAGAAUACCAAUUGCGAAGGCAGCUUUCUGGAUCAUUACUGACACUGAGGAACGAAAGCAUGGGUAGCGAAGAGGAUUAGAUACCCUCGUAGUCCAUGCCGUAAACGAUGUGUGUUAGACGUUGGAAAUUUAUUUUCAGUGUCGCAGCGAAAGCGAUAAACACACCGCCUGGGGAGUACGACCGCAAGGUUAAAACUCAAAUGAAUUGACGGGGACCCGCACAAGUAGUGGAGCAUGUGGUUUAAUUCGAAGAUACGCGCAGAACCUUACCAACACUUGACAUGUUCGUCGCGACUCUAAGAGAUUAGAGUUUUCGGUUCGGCCGGACGAAACACAGGUGCUGCAUGGCUGUCGUCAGCUCGUGUCGUGAGAUGUUGGGUUAAGUCCCGCAACGAGCGCAACCCUCACUUUUAGUUGCCAUCAUUAAGUUGGGCACUCUGAAAGAACUGCCAGUGAUAAGCUGGAGGAAGGUGGGGAUGACGUCAAGUCCUCAUGGCCCUUACGUGUUGGGCUACACACGUGCUACAAUGGUAUCUACAACAGGAAGCAAGACUGCGAGGUCAAGCAAAUCCUUAAAAGAUACCUCAGUUCGGAUUGCACUCUGCAACUCGAGUGCAUGAAGCUGGAAUUACUAGUAAUCGUGGAUCAGCGUGCCACGGUGAAUGCGUUCCCGGGUCUUGUACACACCGCCCGUCACACCAUGGGAGUUGGUUCUACCUUAAGGCAAGGUUUCAAACCCUUGACCACGGUAUAGUCAGCGACUGGGGUG
RNAcentral lists this ribosomal RNA (1392 nucleotides) under uncultured marine bacterium. RNAcentral describes it as "16S ribosomal RNA". It matches the Rfam family "Bacterial small subunit ribosomal RNA". The record is from RNAcentral.